This 457-nucleotide long non-coding RNA is filed under the name Anas platyrhynchos platyrhynchos (common mallard). RNAcentral describes it as "lncRNA (ENSAPLG00000021196.1)". Lineage: Eukaryota; Metazoa; Chordata; Aves; Anseriformes; Anatidae. The record is from RNAcentral.
CAAAAAGAGAUUCCAGUUUCUGUUUGUCAUUACCAGUUUCAUGGCAAUUGUUAAUAGGGUUGAAACUGGAAAAAGGAUUGCACACCAUCAUGCCUUGGCCAAAUUUCAUCUCCAGUAACUGUAUUGAACCACCUUAAUAUCUUCCUGUGGUUUCCAUUAUUGAUCAUAUUGCUAUGUUUUAUUGCCCUUGCUGUGUUUUCCUCAAGAUGUACUGCCUUUUGCUGGUUUUACAAGCAAAACAGUUGACUGCAAAAUAUUAAAGACCUCUGACAGCUUCUUAUUAAAGCAGUGUCACAUCCUGAAGUCCUUGGUUAGCUUUUUCACUCUUUUUCACUACGUUUCUGUCCCUGACUUAGUGACUCAGUGAAAAAUAGUUCGAAGAAAGGAAAUACAGAUUUUAGCAUUUGGUCCCAAAAUAUUUUAUAAAUUGUGAAGUCUAAAUUGCAAAGAUGCUAAC